AAAAAGGCCCUGGCGCUAUCAUUGGUUCAGACAUUCCCUGAAUGAUGGAUCAGACAUUGGCUAUAUUUCCAGAGACUCCAGAAUGAAAACCAAGCUCUGAGGGAGGAGAACCACGCCCUGAGGGAAAGCAAUUCACGAGCAGCUUCGGAUGACAGCGGCUCACUUCAAGAGCAGGUGAAGCAAGUUGGGACAAUGUUGAAGACGUUUGCU
Perca fluviatilis (European perch) is the source of this 210-nucleotide long non-coding RNA. RefSeq lists it as uncharacterized. NCBI's taxonomy places the organism in Eukaryota, Metazoa, Chordata, Actinopteri, Perciformes, Percidae. The transcript has 4 exons. The record is from RefSeq and is a predicted model, not a curated record.